This is a long non-coding RNA of Mauremys mutica (yellowpond turtle), 1615 nucleotides long. RefSeq lists it as uncharacterized. The transcript has 2 exons. NCBI's taxonomy places the organism in Eukaryota, Metazoa, Chordata, Testudines, Geoemydidae. The record is from RefSeq and is a predicted model, not a curated record.
CGCCCUGGCCGCUGCGAGUAGCGAGCAACGGACCCCGCCUCUCUACGGUGCCGCUGAUUCCGCGGUGGCUGAUGGGAGUUGUAGGCCGAGGCACACUACAACUGAGGACAGCUUCUUACUUAUUCUGCAUCCCGUACAGGGUUGCUCCUCGUUUGAAUUCUCGAUGAUAAAAUUUGUCAGCACGAAAGGAUCUGUUCCUCCGUCAGUCUGGAUUGCCUUUUAUAUCAGUGGCUGGAAGUACUUCCCUGCAGUUUUUUUUGCUGCUUUGCUCAUUUCCUUUAAUAGUUACCAAAGAACUGCACUUCCAUAAAACAAAGUGAAAACAAAAUAUAAUCUGAAAUGACCAAAAAAAGAGGAGGGAAAAAAAAAGCACCUUCUCUUACUGGCAACUGCCAGGGUCUGAGUUUGUUUUUACAGCUGGGGCUCAUAAAAGUCAUGAACAUGGCUCUGUUCAGUAGGAGUCAAGGUUGUUGUUCAUGCAGAGACCAAGCCCUGAAGUGAAAUUACAAACUUUUUCUGAGCUGUCAUAUGAUGUACAAAAGCAUGAUCCUAAGAAAUACAAAGUAGCAGAUCUGUAUUGUCCAACUCAAAAGUGCCAUACUUUAUCAGAGAACAAUUUAUGCACAAUUUUGCUUUGUUGCUUUCUGAAGCUUUGUAUAAAAAUAGUAAGAAGCCAUAUGUAAAUGAGUAAAAUUCUGUAAAUAUUUUUUUAGCUCAGUGAGUGAGUUGCACUAAGAAAAGCGGAGCUUCUACGGGAACUUUUGAGACUUUUAAAAAACAAUUAUGGAAGGUAAUGUAGCAAAUGUACUCUUUUAAAGCACCUAUCUUUCCUCAUAUGGAUCCUGCUUCCAAACGUGGUGCACCCCCCAAUGCUGUAGUGCCUGUUUCUUAUGCCCACCUUCCCAACAUGUGCAUGCAUGUGUGGAAAAGACUGCAGACACACACAGCUCUCUUCCCCCCCCCUCCCCCCAUGCCUGAAAGAACCCUCAGGUGUUUAUUGGCUCUGGCUACAUGCCUUAGUAGUACUAGUGAAGGAUUCACAAGUGACCUGUUCUGCUAUAAAAUUAUACCUCCCCUAAAGCCCCUGGUCUCUCUGCCCAAGUUGCUAUGUGCUGCAGUUAUUCAGCAGUGCCAUAGGUAAAAUCCCUACACAUCAGCAGGGGUAGUUAUGGGUUUGCAUUCUCAAAAUAAACACAGACCUUAGAAAUAGCCUUCCACAAACACAGUUUUAAAUGGAACCAGCUUGGCCACAUGGUGGCUGCACUUUGUGGAAUCCUUGCCAUUAAAUUCCAUGCUAUAUCAUUUUACUCUAUAGCUAAGAGUGAACUGUGUAUGUUAAAAUAUUCACCAAAACUGCACAGGGGGUAGGGGAAGGAAGAGUGCUACUGAGGCAAAUAGAGCUAAAUAUGAAAAGGUUGGUUUUUUUUUAAAUACAUAAAUUUAGGAGGAAAAAGCUUGGAGGUGAACUGCUUUCUAAUAAACAGCUGCAUCACAGUAAGCUGCAACUGCCACAGUUAAAAGUCUACUGGUAGUGCAAAGCACCAUGUACUUGCCUUCUGUGGGGCAGGGUCUACCAGCUGUAAUCAGGGGGCAGUGGCACGCACCCCUUUAAGCU